Molecule: ribosomal RNA, 92 nt
Filed under: Dipodomys ordii (Ord's kangaroo rat)
Lineage: Eukaryota; Metazoa; Chordata; Mammalia; Rodentia; Heteromyidae
Source: RNAcentral
GUCUCCGGCCAUACCACCCUGAACGCGCCCAAUCUCGUCUGAUCUCGGAAGCUAAGCAGGGUCGGGCCUGGUUAGUACUUGGAUGGGAGAGG